Molecule: ribosomal RNA, 236 nt
Filed under: Pneumocystis sp.
Lineage: Eukaryota; Fungi; Ascomycota; Pneumocystomycetes; Pneumocystales; Pneumocystaceae
Description: partial small subunit ribosomal RNA
Rfam family: Bacterial small subunit ribosomal RNA
Source: RNAcentral
CUAUAAAAAUUUCUACAAUAGGAUGCAAAGAUGAAAAUUUGAGCUAAUCCCUGAAAAGAAAUUUCAGUACAGAUAAGAGUCUGAAACUCGAUUCUUUGAAGAUGGAAUUGCUAGUAAUCGUCUAUCAGCAUGAGACGGUGAAAGAUAAAUCUGUGAUGUACUAACUACUCGUCAAGCGCGGAAAUUGAUAAGAAAUAUCAAGUAUAUACGUCUAUUUCUUAAAGAUCUGUGCUAAG